Leptidea sinapis is the source of this 314-nucleotide long non-coding RNA. RefSeq lists it as uncharacterized. The transcript is spliced from 3 exons. The record is from RefSeq and is a predicted model, not a curated record. Lineage: Eukaryota; Metazoa; Arthropoda; Insecta; Lepidoptera; Pieridae.
GCAUGGGGUAGACGUCAUUUGACUUGCUGAUUCAGAUGGGACACGAUAAGCCGGAAGACGUCCACUGCUGGACAAAGGCCUCCCUCAAAGAUCUCUAUGACGAUCGGUCCUGAUAUGCCCUCAUCCAACCUAUUCCGGUCACCAGAUUGUCGGUCCAUCUUGUGCGGGGCGUACCAACUCUACGUCUUUCGGUACGUGGUCGAGCUAGCCACUGCCACUUCAGUUUCGCAGCCACCUGAGCUAUAUCCGAUUUAAGUUAAGGACAAUCGGGUAAGAGGUUCGCGUGAUGGAAAGUGGUGAGACAAGCGUCCAUG